UUUGUAUAGCUACAAGUUACAAGUUAAUCUAUUUUUCUAGAUUACAAGUUAAUCUAUUUUUCUGAACUUUGCUGCAUUCAAUGUCAUUAAGCUAUUAGUGCACAAUUUGUAAGUUGAAGUAGUUCACCUAAUUAAUAUGUUAAACAUGUUUACAUUCCCUGUAAUAUGAAGCAGUGGCUUCAAAGAUUUGAUCGAUGUGAUGUCUUAAUCUUGGUAUUACAUCAUCAUUCUGUGUUUUGGUUGAUUGCAAACUAUGUCCUUUCAUUAAAGGAAACUAAAUGGUAGUGCAAUGAUUUCAUAAAGUCCCCUGUAGUGAUGAACAGACAUGUGAUUUUUUUUUAAGAUGGGACAGGCGCGAUGGUGCCCGGCGUUGCGCCGUUGCUGCGAUGGCGGACACCAAGGCCAUGUGCCCUGCUUUCCAUGCCGCCAACAAUGGCGUCAUGUUCGCUGCCAAAGUUGCCUUCCUCAUCCCCGCAGGUUCACCACCUACGCGAUAUUUGGUGUCAUCAGUUGACACGGAGCUGAGGUGCUCUUAAAAUUUCUGGUCUACUGGUGCCAAGGUCAUGGGAAACCUCUCCCCUGAGCUUCGAUGUCUCCCGUCCAGUAGGUAAAGCUUGCUCCUUCCGUUGUGUGAAUCCUGUCAAGAUCCAGCUGUUCUUAUUCAGAAGCACGCCCUGAGGUGAGUUGAAUUGCUUGUUCUAUUUAAAAUUUGGGAGAUGGAUUUGAGUUCUUAGGUGUUAUAUGGUCCCAAACUAUGAAUCGUUGGAUUAGCUAGAUGUAUUCUUGUUUGUGUAUUAGAAAGUUAAAUUUCUGCAAGUGUGUAUAUAUCCCAAGUCUGGCCUAUUCAACAAGAUGAGUCCUUGGCAUUGUGAAGAAAUUUGGGUUAUUUGGUAAUUUGUACCAUAAAAUUGAUGCUUUAGUUCAGUCAGUGUUGUGAUUCAUUAAUUUUUAUAUACAAAGGAAAACAUAUAAUUUUUUCCAGGGACUGUUGUUUGCGGGCUGAAAUUGUUGGUAUUGUUGAACAGUUAAAAUGAGAAUAAUACUACUCCCUCUGAUCGAUAUUACUUGAUUCUAAAAUGGAUGUAUCUACAACUAAAAUAUGUCUAGAUGCAUCCAUUUUAGCAUCAAGUAAUAUGGAUCAGAAGGCAGUACUACUAAACCUUUCAGGCAGUUACUUCCAGUGAAAAUGGAGGAUGAUGUGUGCUUCACCACAUCGUAAAUCCUUUACCUCACAUAGAAAUUGCGUAAAUUAGUAGUGCAUUUUUAUUUUUCAUUAUACUAAAUGCAUAGCUGAGCCUUAUCUCAUUUCUUAUGAAAGCUUGAAGAGAAAAUCCAUGGCAAGGAACUUGGAUAAACAGAUUUUUAGGAUUAACCUAACACAAUAAUUGCUUUUCAAAUAUUUAUGUGUAACUCUCGGAUUACAUAUUUUAUUAUACGAAUUAACUCAUUACUUACGAGAGCCAGGAGACAGAAAUUAAACAUAUUAGGAAGAGCAUGAUAUUUAAGGCAUCUUCUGAAAGCUGAGUUGAAAAAUAUACUAAUGUCGGUUUACUUUAUCCUAAUGAGGUUUCGAUUUCUUCGAUGUAUAUAGUUUGUAUGAUUCAUGUCCAUCUAUUUUUUCUAUUAAAGAGCACCAAGCUCCCAGGGUUCUGAGGCCCUAUGGUUGCUCCGUGCUAGCUCCAAUUGAGUGAUGACACGAGGAUAGUCGGUUCAUGUGUUUGCUACGUGUUGCGGUGUUGGGCGACACCGCGACAGGACGCUUGUGUAUUUGUUACAGGUUGAGCUACAGACCGGGAAGGGGACAACUUCGUUUUCCUCUCGAUCAUUAAUUCUAGAUCGCUCACGGAACCUCUUCUGCGGUUCACUUCGGUCCGCUCAACCACAGCUCCCAUGCUCCUGCCUGCGUCGAUUCCUCACGUCCGGCGACCGGCUUCAUCCCCGACCCCCCCUUCGACCCUCCUACCAUGGCAUCUCAGCCCCCGUCCGAUCUCCCACACCAGAAACGGUGGAGGUAAGGCCUAGCGAUUGCGGCGACACCGGCGGGAAGCAGUCAAGCUGAGCAGAAGAGCAGCGGCUAGAGGAGCACGCGCUUGCGGCAGAGACCGGCG
Long non-coding RNA from Lolium rigidum, 2108 nucleotides. RefSeq lists it as uncharacterized. The transcript has 3 exons. The record is from RefSeq and is a predicted model, not a curated record. NCBI's taxonomy places the organism in Eukaryota, Viridiplantae, Streptophyta, Magnoliopsida, Poales, Poaceae.